This 349-nucleotide ribosomal RNA is filed under the name uncultured bacterium. RNAcentral describes it as "partial 16S ribosomal RNA". It matches the Rfam family "Bacterial small subunit ribosomal RNA", at positions 338 to 682 of the family's 1533-position model. The record is from RNAcentral.
CCUACGGGAGGCUGCAGUGAGGAAUAUUGGUCAAUGGACGCAAGUCUGAACCAGCCAAGUAGCGUGCAGGAUGACGGCCCUCCGGGUUGUAAACUGCUUUUAGUGGGGAAUAAAAGGGGGCGCGUGAGCCCCGUAUUGUAUGUACCAUCAGAAAAAGGACCGGCGAAUUCCGGGCCAGCAGCCGCGGUAAUACGGAAGGUCCGGGGGUUAUCCGGAUUUAUUGGGGUGAAAGGGAGCGUAGGCCGGCUUUUACGUCCGCUGGGCAAGUCCGCGGCUCAACCGUGGAAUUGCAGUUGAAAAUGGAGGCCUUGAGUGCACACAGGGAUGCCGGAAUUCAUGGUGUAGCGGU